This 301-nucleotide ribosomal RNA is filed under the name uncultured bacterium. Its description in RNAcentral is "partial 16S ribosomal RNA". It matches the Rfam family "Bacterial small subunit ribosomal RNA", at positions 509 to 808 of the family's 1533-position model. The record is from RNAcentral.
CAGCCGCCGCGGUAAGACAGAGGAUGCAAGCGUUAUCCGGAAUGAUUGGGCGUAAAGCGUCUGUAGGUGGCUUUUCAAGCCCGCCGUCAAAUCCCAGGGCUCAACCCUGGACAGGCGGUGGAAACUACUAAGAUGGAGUACGGUAGGGGCAGAGGGAAUUUCCGGUGGAGCGAUGAAAUGCGUUGAGAUCGGAAAGAACACCAACGGUGAAAGCACUCUGCUGGGCCGACACUGACACUGAGAGACGAAAGUUAGGGGAGAAAAUGGGAUUAGAUACCCGUGUAGUCCCUGUCUCUUAUAA